This 977-nucleotide ribosomal RNA is filed under the name Salmonella enterica. RNAcentral describes it as "partial 23S ribosomal RNA". It matches the Rfam family "Bacterial large subunit ribosomal RNA", at positions 568 to 1547 of the family's 2925-position model. Lineage: Bacteria; Pseudomonadati; Pseudomonadota; Gammaproteobacteria; Enterobacterales; Enterobacteriaceae. The record is from RNAcentral.
AGAAGCAGAGGGGGCUUAGUGGUGGGGUGACUGCGUACCUUUUGUAUAAUGGGUCAGCGACUUAUAUUCUGUAGCAAGGUUAACCGUAUAGGGGAGCCGGAGGGAAACCGAGUCUUAACCGGGCGUUAAGUUGCAGGGUAUAGACCCGAAACCCGGUGAUCUAGCCAUGGGCAGGUUGAAGGUUGGGUAACACUAACUGGAGGACCGAACCGACUAAUGUUGAAAAAUUAGCGGAUGACCUGUGGCUGGGGGUGAAAGGCCAAUCAAACCGGGAGAUAGCUGGUUCUCCCCGAAAGCUAUUUAGGUAGCGCCUCGUGAAUUCAUCUCCGGGGGUAGAGCACUGUUUCGGCUAGGGGGCCAUCCCGGCUUACCAACCCGAUGCAAACUGCGAAUACCGGAGAAUGUUAUCACGGGAGACACACGGCGGGUGCUAACGUCCGUCGUGAAGAGGGAAACAACCCAGACCGCCAGCUAAGGUCCCAAAGUCAUGGUUAAGUGGGAAACGAUGUGGGAAGGCCCAGACAGCCAGGAUGUUGGCUUAGAAGCAGCCAUCAUUUAAAGAAAGCGUAAUAGCUCACUGGUCGAGUCGGCCUGCGCGGAAGAUGUAACGGGGCUAAACCAUGCACCGAAGCUGCGGCAGCGACGCUGAUGCGUUGUUGGGUAGGGGAGCGUUCUGUAAGCCUGCGAAGGUGGCCUGUGAGGGUUGCUGGAGGUAUCAGAAGUGCGAAUGCUGACAUAAGUAACGAUAAAGCGGGUGAAAAGCCCGCUCGCCGGAAGACCAAGGGUUCCUGUCCAACGUUAAUCGGGGCAGGGUGAGUCGACCCCUAAGGCGAGGCCGAAAGGCGUAGUCGAUGGGAAACGGGUUAAUAUUCCCGUACUUGGUGUUACUGCGAAGGGGGGACGGAGAAGGCUAUGUUGGCCGGGCGACGGUUGUCCCGGUUUAAGCGUGUAGGUGUGUGUUCCAGGUAAAUCCGGUU